Molecule: long non-coding RNA, 839 nt
Filed under: Pan troglodytes (chimpanzee)
Lineage: Eukaryota; Metazoa; Chordata; Mammalia; Primates; Hominidae
Description: long non-coding RNA NONPTRT014422
Source: RNAcentral
AGGGUCUGGAGAUGGGGAGAUGAUCCCGGAUGAUCCAGGGAACCCCACAGGUUACCACAAGGUCCUUACGAGAAGAAGGCAGGAGGGAGAAAAUCAGAGAAGGAGCAGCAAGGACAAAGCGGGGUCAGGGUGAGGACAACCCAUGAGGUGGUACUGUGAUCGCCCCACUUUACAGAUGAGAGGACAGACACACAGAGACACGGAAACCAGCCCUGGGUCACACAGCUGGGAAGCGGCCGUGACUUUCCUACUCAGGCCCGUGGCACACGGAGCCCCAGAGAAAGGCUCAGGAGAAGGGAGACGCGUGGGACUAAUGGUCUUGGAAGCACAGCCGGGGUGACGGAAGAGGCACAGAGAGCCGAAAAUGCAAGAACACGGUAGCUAGGAGGGACCGAUUCUCAUGCAGGGACAACAGUGCCAGCCCUAGGCAGUAUCACAGGUGCUGGGUUGGGGUCUGGGCUGAGAAUCUGGGUCUCAUCAGCGACAUCAACAUGGAUCAUGCCACCAGCAGUGACAGCAUCUUCAUGCAGCCAGAAGCCGCUGACUCUAUGAAGAAUGGAAGACGGCCUCGAGUACUUUCCAGGUUUGAACUUCACUAAGGAAAAAGAAUAGCCUGUACAAAUGUCAAAGCCCGAAGUGAAAACUGAAGUCCUCAGCAUAAGCAGGAACCAUUCCCAGAUGGGAGGGAAAGUGCCUAGAAAGUUGCUGAGUCCACACUCAAGUUGUUGUUUGAUAAGUUUUACAAAAUGACAAAGAUUGGGCCAUAGACAGACAUAUUUGAUGUACAUUCUGGUAUUUGCAGAUUUGAUCAGGUACAAAAUUUUUAAGCCAUAUUGAUU